UAGGCAGAUUGCCUACCACGGCUGACGACCUCCACCUGCCCGGGUUUGGUGUUCGGAGUUUGCUCUCCUAGGUGAAUUGCCUACCACGGCUGACGACCUCCACCUGCCCGGGUUUAUUGUUCGGAGUUUGCUCUCCUAGGUGAAUUGCCUACCACGGCUGACGACCUCCACCUGCCCGGGUUUAUUGUUCGGAGUUUGCUCUCCUAGGUGAAUUGCCUACCACGGCUGACGACCUCCACCUGCCCGGGUUUGUUGUUCGGAGUUUGCUCUCCUAGGUGUAUUGCCUACCACGGCUAACGACCUCCACCUGCCCGGGUUUGUUGUUCGGAGUUUGCUCUCCUAGGUGAAUUGCCUACCACGGCUGACGACCUCCACCUGUCCGGGUUUGUUGUUCGGAGUUUGCUCUCCUAGGUGAAUUGCCUACCACGGCUAACGACCUCCACCUGCCCGGGUUUAUUGUUCGGAGUUUGCUCUCCUAGGUGUAUUGCCUACCACGGCUAACGAGCCCCACCUGCCCGGGUCUGUAGCCGGCAGAUCUCCGGCACCUCCGUCGGGGCCCCGGGGGACGCUGAGGCGCCCUACCGGGAGCCCUUCAGUACUACCAUGCUCGCCAGGGAGACCUUGGGCUCGCUGGCGCCCCCCAGCCUCGCCGAGGCGAGGAGGGCGGGUGCAAGAACUCGCUUCUUAAAACUACCAGACUGGAUUAUAAUAUUAAUCAUAAAUACCGUGAAGGCGCUGGUUUCCGCGUUCAUCGGUUCUGGGAUGGAAAACCGAUGGGCUGGGAAACGCGCACAAACAUCGAAAGGAAUCCUCGCGACGGCUUGCGGCGCAGCACCAGCUUUCCUUUUUCUUUUUUAGCUCCAAUUUUCUUUAUUAUUGUAUUUUCCUUCUCUGAUUGACUGAUUAAUUAAUUUUACGUAAUAAGAAUUAGUUAAUCAAUUAACAUCUUUCAGGUACACUGCAUUCACACACCUGCUGAGAGAAAACACCAGUGAGUGCUGAAUCUCACAAGGACGGCCCACCAAAGUUUCCUAACAUUUGCAUUGGGGUCCCACUAUUCUUUAGUCGUCCGAGGAGGAGGAAGUGGUAAUAUAUAAACGAGAACAAUGGAAUAAAGGAGGUACUAAAACUAAUAUGGAGAUUAACGUAACUGAAAUAAGAGGAAGGAGGCAGCCACCUUACGGCCUACACACAAAUGAUAAGAAUGCAGUGUUUGGCCGCGAC
Long non-coding RNA from Eriocheir sinensis (Chinese mitten crab), 1224 nucleotides. RefSeq lists it as uncharacterized. Lineage: Eukaryota; Metazoa; Arthropoda; Malacostraca; Decapoda; Varunidae. The record is from RefSeq and is a predicted model, not a curated record. The transcript is spliced from 4 exons.